This 776-nucleotide long non-coding RNA is filed under the name Rattus norvegicus (Norway rat). RNAcentral describes it as "long non-coding RNA NONRATT002977". Lineage: Eukaryota; Metazoa; Chordata; Mammalia; Rodentia; Muridae. The record is from RNAcentral.
CGCGAUUGCAAGGGCGGAUCUUCGGUUUGCUCAGAAGCCGCAGUGGUGGAGAAUGAGCGGAACCCUGGGAAAGGUGCUUGGCCUAUGGACCAAUACUGUUUCUAAGCAAGGCUUUUCCCUCCAAAGAUUCAGAAUUUUGGGAGAGAAUCCCAUUUAUUCUGCAGGAGAAGGACUGCUCUGUGGCUGUAGAGGGCGGAGUAAAGAGAGGGCAUAGAAAGACGAGGAGCAGCAGCAUCUCUCACCUUCCAGUCACCUAAGGCUUCGUUGGCGCUCCUCCCACCCCUCCACACACAACCAAGAUGAUCUUUUAAAACCAUGGCAGAGGGGGUGGAGCAAUGGAUCAGAAGUUAAGAGCAUUUGCUGCUCUUGCAGAGGACCUGGGUUCAGUUUCCGGCACCUAUAUAUUGGCUCACAGUUCCAGGGGACUCUGAUGCCCUCUUCUGGCCUCUGCAGUUAUUACAUGCAUUUGAUCCACAUAAACUAAAUAAAAUCAUACACUCAUACACAUAAAAUAAAUAAAAUCCUUUUAAAAACACAGCAUACAUAUACUUUUUUUUGCUUAUUUCUGUUCAUGAUGAGAUCCAACCUCUUAACAAGGACUAGUUUUGUUGGUUUUAGGCCCCCCGACUCACUGUAAAGUCUUUGGUGGGGCCCUCUCACAAUUACAGCCACUCUCCCAGUCUUGCAUGGGCCCCACGUCAGGUCCUGUAUACUGUUCCUACAACUACAGCACUAAUCCUCCACUUUAUUCCUCUAAUAAACAGUUUAUUAGAGGC